UACGAGAGGCGCAAACGUUAUUCGGAUUUACUGGGCUUAAAGAGUUCGUAGGCGGCGCAGAAAGUAGGGUGUGAAAGCCCUCGGCUCAACCGAGGAAUUGCGCUCUAAACUACUGUGCUUGAGGAACCUAGAGGUGAGCAGAACUGAUGGUGGAGCGGUGAAAUGCGUUGAUAUCAUCAGGAAUACCGGAGGCGAAGGCGGCUCACUGGGGGUUUUCUGACGCUGAGGAACGAAAGCCAGGGGAGCGAACGGG
This 253-nucleotide ribosomal RNA is filed under the name uncultured bacterium. RNAcentral describes it as "partial 16S ribosomal RNA". It matches the Rfam family "Bacterial small subunit ribosomal RNA", at positions 524 to 776 of the family's 1533-position model. The record is from RNAcentral.